GAUGAAGAACGCAGCGAAAUGCGAUAAGUAGUGUGAAUUGCAGAAUUCAGUGAAUCAUCGAAUCUUUGAACGCACCUUGCGCCCUUUGGCCAUUCCGAAGGGCAUGCCUGUUUGAGUAUCAUGAACACCUCAACUCUUCAUGGUUUUCCAUGAUGAGCUUGGACUUUGGGGGUCUUGCUGGCCUGUGGGUCGGCUCCUCUCAAAUGAAUCAGCUUGCCGGUUUUUGGUGGGCAUCACAGGUGUGAUAACUAUCUACGCUUGUGGUUUUCCACCAGGGUAACCUUCAGCAGUGGAGGUUCACUGGAGCUUACAAAUGUCUCUCCUCUGUGAGGACAGCCCUUUGAAUGUUUGAUCUCAAAUCAGGUAGGACUACCCGCUGAACUUAAGCAUAUCAAUAAGCGGAGGA
This 406-nucleotide unclassified non-coding RNA is filed under the name soil metagenome. RNAcentral describes it as "partial contains 5.8S ribosomal RNA, internal transcribed spacer 2, and large subunit ribosomal RNA". The stretch from base 1 to 121 matches the Rfam family "5.8S ribosomal RNA", at positions 35 to 154 of the family's 154-position model. The record is from RNAcentral.